RNAcentral lists this long non-coding RNA (934 nucleotides) under Zosterops lateralis melanops. RNAcentral's name for it is "lncRNA (ENSZLMG00000002927.1)". The record is from RNAcentral. Lineage: Eukaryota; Metazoa; Chordata; Aves; Passeriformes; Zosteropidae.
GAUUUAGAAUACAGGAGCACAAGGAUCAAGCAGAUCUGGCCAAGCUGGAAAAYAGAAGAGAAGGGGAACGAAUACAGCAAUUGAGCCAAUUGUACCAACUGGAAACUCAGAGAGAAAAAGAAAAGGAACAGGAGAAAAAARCUGAAUUCCAGAGGCAGCAUCAUGAAUAUGUAGCUGAACAAAAAGUAUUUAAAGCUGAAGAGAAACAAAAAGAAGACAAAGAUGAUGAUCGGAUUAAGGCUUAUAUUAAAGGAAAAGAAAUGAUGGCUGAUCUGACAAGAGAAAAAUAUGCAGAGAGUAACAGGAUGAUACAGAAGCAUAAGGACAAGGCUUUUGAUCAAUUAACUGCACAGAUCAAUGAGAAAUUUAAGAUUGAAGAUGAUCGUCUUGYUAGAGGAGCUGCAGAGGUAGAAGUUGAGUACCAAAUGCAAAACAAAGAGAAAGAAAUGAGAAAAAAGGCUGCUAUUGAAUCUAUUGAAGAAAACAGAGUCACUGUGAUGAAGUUGAAAGAGGAAAAGGAGAGACAGGAGAAAGAAGAGGGUGAGAAGGAUCGUAAUCAGUGGAUGACAGARAAUGACAUCUACUUGGAAAUGGAAAAAGCCAAGAAACAAAGACAGCGUGAUGCAAACAUGGAAGUACAGAAAAUUCAGCUCCAGCAAAUGGCUGAAAAGCAGGCAAGAAAAGAGCAGGAAAAGCAAGCAGACUUGGACUGCGAUGCUCAGAGAGAAGCUGCUUUUCCUUGGGAUYGAGCAUCUCGGAGAUAAAGACACAAGCAGAAAGAAUGGAAACUUUUAUAAAAGCCUUUUGAUGGCAGAAGCUGGAGCCCUAAGAAGUAUUGACUACAACAGGAGUGGUGCUGAAACCUGCAGAGCUCAGUAAUGCUCCAAAUGCAUCCSUAAGUGCAAAUCUGCACAUGCUCACUACCAUGCAAUUG